AACGAACGCUGGCGGCAUGCCUAACACAUGCAAGUCGAACGAGACCUUCGGGUCUAGUGGCGCACGGGUGCGUAACGCGUGGGAACCUGCCCUUAGGUUCGGCAUAACUCCCCGACAGGGGUGCUAAUACUGGAUAAUGUCUUCGGACCAAAGAUUUAUCGCCUUUGGAUGGGCCCGCGUUGGAUUAGCUAGUUGGUAGGGUAAAAGCCUACCAAGGCGACGAUCCACAGCUGGUCUGAGAGGAUGAUCAGCCACACUGGGACUGAGACACGGCCCAGACUCCUACGCGAGGCAGCAGUGGGGAAUAUUGGACCAUGGGCGAAGGGCUGAUCCAGCAAUGCCGCGUGAGUGAUGAAGGCCUUAGGGUUGUAAAGCGCUUUUACCCGGGAUGAUAAUGACAGUACCGGGAGAAUAAGCUCCGGCUAACUCCGUG
RNAcentral lists this ribosomal RNA (433 nucleotides) under uncultured bacterium. Its description in RNAcentral is "partial 16S ribosomal RNA". It matches the Rfam family "Bacterial small subunit ribosomal RNA", at positions 29 to 507 of the family's 1533-position model. The record is from RNAcentral.